This 770-nucleotide long non-coding RNA is filed under the name Brassica napus (rape). Its description in RNAcentral is "long non-coding RNA (BNAP_LNC020213)". The record is from RNAcentral. Lineage: Eukaryota; Viridiplantae; Streptophyta; Magnoliopsida; Brassicales; Brassicaceae.
GCUUUGUUAAAAUGAAAUUAUCUCAAAAUUUACUAUAAAGGACAUAAUUAUUUGUAGCGUGGGUUUUAUAUAACAUAGUAAUAAUUAAUUGGCAAACAGCACGAUGUUCCAUUUCCAUAAUAUAUGCAAGGAGCUGUCGAGUCACAACCUGAUAAACUGUUUCGAAGGCUUCUACCAACAGAGCCGAUGGAUAUUUUCUAGAAAUACGGUCCCUAAGUUUUAACAAGGUUACAAAAAUGUGGAGACCCAUGCUUAACUUAGGUCCGAAGAAAUGUUGAAUAAUGUUCUUAGAAUUAUUCAUUACCAUGCAUGCAUUAAUUACUCUCGACCCAGCAUUGUGCCCAAAUCACCAACCCAUACCAAGAGAAUUCACAAACCUUAUCAAGAACCAUAAGUAAAUUCAAUCAAGAGAAAGAAUACAGUAACCAUAAGCCCAAAGUUCUUAAACAAAUUCUUCAUCCUACCAAAUUACCCCAAGUCCUAACUUUUGUUAGAGACUAGAUAGCUUACCAUGCAGAAAGCCAUAUAACUAGGAGUAUCCAACACCUUGAAUAUCUAAAUCUCAUCUGUAACAAAGAUUUAAACGUACUUCGUGGAAAUCAUCUAAGAAGAGAUGGACUAAACAUAAAAUCAUGAAAUACAUUAAGAGAUCCAAGAGUUUUCACAAUCAAGAUCAUAGAAGGCCAGCCCAAAUGUACCUGAAAAUCAAAAGAAACAUCAAAAGAUAGGAGGAGAUAAAAUUUAGUAACAGUUUAUUAGAAUUACGAUUU